This is a long non-coding RNA of Halichondria panicea, 904 nucleotides long. RefSeq lists it as uncharacterized. The record is from RefSeq and is a predicted model, not a curated record. The transcript is spliced from 2 exons. Lineage: Eukaryota; Metazoa; Porifera; Demospongiae; Suberitida; Halichondriidae.
UGGUGCAUCCCUCCCCCAUUUAAUGGGGGAGGACCUCAAUAGGUGUGUCCUGCCAGUCUAUGAUCGAUCAGCAUGAGAAAAACACCAUGGACAGUUUGUUUGGGACUUCUGGUAAUCAUACCUGCUCUGUUACCCUUAGAAGCUUACAAUGAUCCUGAUUUGAGAUCUCCUGUAGAAGAAGCGGUUGAUGGUCCCUCCAACUCCAUACUACUAGCUACAAUCGUUACAGCACUUAUCGUUGCCGUGACAAUUGUUUUUGUCGCAUGUGUAGUUUGCAAAUGCUGUCGAAGGGAGAAGCGCUUGAAACCAAUUGAUGAUGGGGAUACUGAAACAGAUUCGCCAAAAGUUAGAUCUAAAGGGAGUGGCCGCCAACGUAGGAAAGUGACAUGAAAUAGAAAUUUUUUUAUACGCAGUAACGGGUUUGGCCACCUCCAAAUCAGCAGAUAGUCUACAUGUAUAUCAUUAUUGUCAUAAGUUAUAUACUAGCACUAUAAUAAUACAUUCAUGCCGUUGUCAUCCUUUCACUAGUUCUCGUGAACACCAAGACUCAAGUAAAAAAUUUAUCGCACCUUCUGAGUAUUGCAUAUAAGACUCGGUGAUAUGACUAGAUAUAAAUAUGUACAUGCAAGUACAUCAACAAUGUUUCCUAGGCGAACUAGUUGUAUUCUGUGUCGGGCUGAGUGCAUCCUCGUUCCCAUGUCGAUACCUGCAUCGUGUUAAAAACUGAAUAUACUGGUCUGCUGUAGUAGCCAACUUACAGAUUGCCAGGUGGACUUGGUCUUUUCUUGAGAGCUUUAUGCCCUUGACCUGUAGACAUCUUCCAGAGGAUAACCAUGGCAACUAGAACCAAGAGCCCACAAAAUGCGAAGAAGAGGAUGUUGUUUUGGCCUGAUGUUUGACCAGC